This 473-nucleotide ribosomal RNA is filed under the name uncultured bacterium. RNAcentral's name for it is "bacterial SSU rRNA". It matches the Rfam family "Bacterial small subunit ribosomal RNA", at positions 8 to 524 of the family's 1533-position model. The record is from RNAcentral.
AGAGUUUGAUCCUGGCUCAGGAUGAACGCUGGCGGUAUGCUUAACACGUGCAAGUCGGACGGGAAGUGGUGUUUCCAGUGGCAGACGGGUGAGUAACGCGUAAGAACCUGCCCUUGGGAGGGGAACAAUAGCUGGAAAUGACUGCUAAUACCCCAUAGGCUGAGGAGAAAAAGGGGGAAUCUGCCCAAGGAGGGGCUCGCGUCUGAUUAGUUAGUUGGUGAGGCAAUGGCUUACCAAGGCGACGAUCAGUAGCUGGUCUGAGAGGAUGAUCAACCACGCUGGGACUGAGACAUGGCCCAGACUCCUACGGGAGGAAGCAGUGGGGAAUUUUCUGCAAUGGGCGACAGCCUGAUGGAGCAAUGCUGCGUGAAGGCAAAAGGCCCACGAGUCAUGAACUUCUUUUCUCGGAGAAGAAAAAUGACGGUCUCUGAGGAAUAAGCAUCAGCUAAAUCUGUGCCAGCAGCCGCGGUAAU